Molecule: ribosomal RNA, 497 nt
Filed under: uncultured bacterium
Lineage: Bacteria
Description: partial 16S ribosomal RNA
Rfam family: Bacterial small subunit ribosomal RNA
Source: RNAcentral
GAUGAACGCUGGCGGCGUGCCUAAUACAUGCAAGUCGAGCGAACAGACGAGGAGCUUGCUCCUCUGACGUUAGCGGCGGACGGGUGAGUAACACGUGGAUAACCUACCUAUAAGACUGGGAUAACUUCGGGAAACCGGAGCUAAUACCGGAUAAUAUAUUGAACCGCAUAGUUCAAUAGUGAAAGACGGUUUUGCUGUCACUUAUAGAUGGAUCCGCGCCGCAUUAGCUAGUUGGUAAGGUAACGGCUUACCAAGGCGACGAUGCGUAGCCGACCUGAGAGGGUGAUCGGCCACACUGGAACUGAGACACGGUCCAGACUCCUACAGGAGGCAGCAGUAGGGAAUCUUCCGCAAUGGGCGAAAGCCUGACGGAGCAACGCCGCGUGAGUGAUGAAGGUCUUCGGAUCGUAAAACUCUGUUAUUAGGGAAGAACAAAUGUGUAAGUAACUAUGCACGUCUUGACGGUACCUAAUCAGAAAGCCACGGCUAACUACGUG